GAUGAACGCUAGCGGCAGGCUUAACACAUGCAAGUCGAGGGGCAGCAUAAACAUUGCUUGCAAUGUUUGAUGGCGACCGGCGCACGGGUGCGUAACGCGUAUGUAACCUACCUCAAACAGGGGCAUAACACUGAGAAAUUGGUACUAAUUCCCCCAUAACACUCUGGGAGGCAUCUCCUGGGGGUUUGAAAAGUUUCCGGCGGUUUGAGAUGGACAUGCGUUGUAUUAGCUAGUUGGUGAGGUAACGGCUCACCAAGGCGACGAUACAUAGGGGGACUGAGAGGUUAACCCCCCACAUUGGUACUGAGACACGGACCAAACUCCUACGGGAGGCAGCAGUGAGGAAUAUUGGACAAUGGAUGGAAAUCUGAU
RNAcentral lists this ribosomal RNA (372 nucleotides) under uncultured bacterium. RNAcentral's name for it is "bacterial SSU rRNA". It matches the Rfam family "Bacterial small subunit ribosomal RNA", at positions 28 to 387 of the family's 1533-position model. The record is from RNAcentral.